CAGGAAAUAACUUUUGAAUUUUCUUCUCUAAGAUGUAUGUAGAUAAUAUCUUUGAAAGGUAAUCAUGGCUUAUUCAGUCAAAAGCAAUGAUUGUAUCUAAUCAGUUAUUUUCUUCCCCACCUCAAAAUCCAAAAUCCUUCUUGGCUCAUUUGCUGGCCCUCCUGCCUUUAAAAUAUUUCUACAAAUAUUUUAUACUGGGAAUUGAGUUACGUCAGUAGGUUUU
This 223-nucleotide long non-coding RNA is filed under the name Bos taurus (domestic cattle). Its description in RNAcentral is "long non-coding RNA NONBTAT026148". Lineage: Eukaryota; Metazoa; Chordata; Mammalia; Artiodactyla; Bovidae. The record is from RNAcentral.